Molecule: non-coding RNA, 76 nt
Organism: Myotis davidii
Lineage: Eukaryota; Metazoa; Chordata; Mammalia; Chiroptera; Vespertilionidae
Source: Rfam
GGUGGUUCUUGGGUAAUGCACCCUGAAUCACGUUCCCUCCUCUCUGGUUCCUGGAAUGCCUCACCUGAGAACCACA